CGUCGAGCCGUUGAAACUGGGUGCCUUGAGUGGGCGAGAAGUACGCGGAAUGCGUGGUGUAGCGGUGAAAUGCAUAGAUAUCACGCAGAACUCCGAUUGCGAAGGCAGCCUACCGGCUUCUGUCUGACGCUGAGGCACGAAAGCGUGGGUAUCGAACAGGAUUAGAUACCCUGGUAGUCCACGCAGUAAACGAUGAAUGCCGGCUGUCCGGUCCGACUGAGGGCUGGGUGGCGAAGCGAAAGCGAUAAGCAUCCCACCUGGGGAGUACGCCGGCAACGGUGAAACUCAAAGGAAUUGACGGGGGCCCGCACAAGCGGAGGAACAUGUGGUUUAAUUCGAUGAUACGCGAGGAACCUUACCCGGGCUCAAACGGGAGAUGACGCGGGCAGAGACGCCCGUUUCUUAGGACAUCUUCCGAGGUGCUGCAUGGUUGUCGUCAGCUCGUGCCGUGAGGUGUCGGCUUAAGUGCCAUAACGAGCGCAACCCCUGCCGACAGUUGCUAACGCGUUGAGGCGAGGACUCUGUCGGGACUGCCGGCGCAAGCCGCGAGGAAGGCGGGGAUGACGUCAAAUCAGCACGGCCCUUACGUCCGGGGCGACACACGUGUUACAAUGGCAGGUACAGCGGGAUGCCAUGGGGCGACCCAGAGCGGAACCCGAAAACCUGUCUCAGUUCGGAUUGGAGUCUGCAACCCGACUCCAUGAAGCUGGAUUCGCUAGUAAUCGCGCAUCAGCCACGGCGCGGUGAAUACGUUCCCGGGCCUUGUACACACCGCCCGUCAAGCCAUGGGAGCCGGGGGUGCCUGAAGGCCGUGACCGCGAGGAGCGGCCUAGGGUAAAACUGGUGACUGGGGCUAAGUCGUAACAAGGUAGCCGUAA
This 878-nucleotide ribosomal RNA is filed under the name uncultured bacterium. Its description in RNAcentral is "bacterial SSU rRNA". It matches the Rfam family "Bacterial small subunit ribosomal RNA", at positions 617 to 1505 of the family's 1533-position model. The record is from RNAcentral.